This 387-nucleotide ribosomal RNA is filed under the name uncultured bacterium. Its description in RNAcentral is "bacterial SSU rRNA". It matches the Rfam family "Bacterial small subunit ribosomal RNA", at positions 29 to 418 of the family's 1533-position model. The record is from RNAcentral.
AUUGAACGCUGGCGGCAUGCCUUACACAUGCAAGUCGAACGGUAACGCGGGGCAACCUGGCGACGAGUGGCGAACGGGUGAGUAAUGCAUCGGAACGUGCCCAGUAGUGGGGGAUAGCCCGGCGAAAGCCGGAUUAAUACCGCAUACCCGACUACGGGUGAAAGCAGGGGAUCGCAAGACCUUGCGCUAUUGGAGCGGCCGAUGUCAGAUUAGGUUGUUGGUGGGGUAAAAGCCUACCAAGCCGACGAUCUGUAGCUGGUCUGAGAGGACGACCAGCCACACUGGGACUGAGACACGGCCCAGACUCCUACGGGAGGCAGCAGUGGGGAAUUUUGGACAAUGGGCGCAAGCCUGAUCCAGCCAUGCCGCGUGCGGGAAGAAGGCCUU